RNAcentral lists this ribosomal RNA (234 nucleotides) under Ditylum brightwellii. RNAcentral's name for it is "partial Eukaryotic small subunit ribosomal RNA". It matches the Rfam family "Eukaryotic small subunit ribosomal RNA", at positions 763 to 998 of the family's 1831-position model. Lineage: Eukaryota; Bacillariophyta; Thalassiosirophyceae; Lithodesmiales; Lithodesmiaceae. The record is from RNAcentral.
AAAUUAGAGUGUUCAAAGCAGGCCUUUGCUCGAAUACAUUAGCAUGGAAUAAUAGAAUAGGACGUGUGGUUCUAUUUUGUUGGUUUCUAGGACCGCCGUAAUGAUUAAUAGGGAUAGUCGGGGGCAUCAGUAUUCAAUCGUCAGAGGUGAAAUUCUUGGAUUGAUUGAAGACUAACUACUGCGAAAGCAUUUGCCAAGGAUGUUUUCAUUGAUCAAGAACGAAAGUUAGGGGAU